Sarcophilus harrisii (Tasmanian devil) is the source of this 145-nucleotide small nuclear RNA. Its record names the gene U1. It matches the Rfam family "U1 spliceosomal RNA". From Rfam's summary of the family: U1 is a small nuclear RNA (snRNA) component of the spliceosome (involved in pre-mRNA splicing). Its 5' end forms complementary base pairs with the 5' splice junction, thus defining the 5' donor site of an intron. There are significant differences in sequence and secondary structure between metazoan and yeast U1 snRNAs, the latter being much longer (568 nucleotides as compared to 164 nucleotides in human). NCBI's taxonomy places the organism in Eukaryota, Metazoa, Chordata, Mammalia, Dasyuromorphia, Dasyuridae. The record is from Ensembl.
AUGCUUACCUGGAAGGGGUAAUUCCACGAUCACAAAGGUGAUUUCCCCAGGGUAAAGUUUACCUAUUACACUCCUGAUCCCUAUGAUUUCCCCAAAUUCAGGAAACUUAACUGCAUAAUUUGUGAUGGUGAGCAACUGAUGCUCU